This 311-nucleotide long non-coding RNA is filed under the name Actinidia chinensis (golden kiwifruit). RNAcentral describes it as "long non-coding RNA (ACHI_LNC000044)". Lineage: Eukaryota; Viridiplantae; Streptophyta; Magnoliopsida; Ericales; Actinidiaceae. The record is from RNAcentral.
UGUGCGUCAUGUCGGAUCACUGCCCUUAAUUUUUCUAUAAGUAAAUUAUACGUUACCCUUGUGAUUUAAACUAUUUUUCUACAUUCACUAUCGGAAAUUUUCUUUUUUAACGUCAUCUUUCUUAUUUACUAGAACUCACCACUACAAUAGAGCCACAAGCUCUAGUGUAGGUUUUGAAAUAAGAAAAUAACUAGCAUCAAUACUAGUGGAGGUUUUGAACUUGUAUUAUCUUAAUACUUUAAAAAAUUCAAUGAAUUCAAAGCGUGUCUUGGUGUGACUCACAAAAGGUUAAUUCGUAAAAAAACAAUACA